This 29-nucleotide non-coding RNA is filed under the name Mus musculus (house mouse). Lineage: Eukaryota; Metazoa; Chordata; Mammalia; Rodentia; Muridae. The record is from RNAcentral.
UNGCUUCAUGUCCACCGAGUUUGUAGUGC